CUAAAGCUAAUGUAGUAUUACAUUAACUUUGCUUUACAUUUCAAAUUGAGAUUCGCUGCAAACAUAGAAUAAAAUUCAUAGUGAUAAUUUGAGUAGUCUGAAGAACAUUUUUGAAUAUUUAAGAAGAGGUUGCUUCACAAGUUUUACUUCACCAUUGUAUCUGCUACUACAUGCAUGUGUGAUGGCAAAGAUGCUAGAUUCCGUAUACCAGUAACUGGCCCUAAGGAUAAAGGUGUUUAUUAUUUUUGGGCAGUGAGAGAAAAUAACGAGUGGACAAUCACUAGAGCUGAGUUAGAAUUAAAGUCAAAACCAGAAGCUAGACUCAUUAUUGUAAUUAAUAAGCUGAGAAGUUGAUAUCAAAAAUGUUCAUUGGAAAUGCUAAAGAAAAGUUUAAUUUUCAUAACACCCUACUGUGUAUAGUUAAAGGUUUACAAAACAAAAAUAUCACAUUAGAUCUGCGAAACGAUGCCUACGUAUGUGGCACAAUUGAAACUGUUGAUGGGUGAGUCAAUAUUUUUCUCUACAUUCUGUAGGGUUAAGGAGACUUGAUUAUGUGUAGAUAUAUUACAUAAUUAAAUCUAG
Long non-coding RNA from Manduca sexta (tobacco hornworm), 582 nucleotides. RefSeq lists it as uncharacterized. The record is from RefSeq and is a predicted model, not a curated record. The transcript has 3 exons. Lineage: Eukaryota; Metazoa; Arthropoda; Insecta; Lepidoptera; Sphingidae.